AGCCAUCCUCAAACCCUCAUCGUCUCAAAUUCUCUCUAGCCCCUUCGAAACCCCAGCCCUCUCCCACCAUCUUCCACCAUGUUCUAUCGGAAUCUAUUUAUUCCUCGAGCCUUGGGUGGCCUGUACUCACCUCCACAUGUUCUUGUACGCCUGCUACUAGAGGAUUCAAGGUCUGACCCUGAAGAUUUUCGCUCAGUUCCAUCGCUGCAAGUUCCCCGGCCAUCUCUGGCAUGUCCUGGUCCUAUGAGUCUAUCUCUGGCUCACCUGGCUCAGAGCAGACCCUUUUCCAGGCCUUCCUCGCUUCUAGGGUUGUUCUGAAACCCUAGCCCUUCGACCUUUUCAUAUAUUCCUUUAGAUCCGCUCUAGAUCUAUGCUUGUUUCAAUGUUUUCAAAAUGAUUUUCUUAAAUUUCUUUCAAAGGUUUGCUUUCAAAAUAUUCGUCUUCGCUGAUUUAGGGUUUCUUUGAUUUUACUUGUUUUAGUGUGAUUUUGUGAGGUGUUCUUACUGUUUUGUCCUACUGUAAUUCCUGUUUGUUCCUACUCCAACUCCUGUGUGCUUCUUCUAUUAUGUUUCCUUUUAUUUUUCUUUUACUGUAUAUUUCCU
Molecule: long non-coding RNA, 602 nt
Filed under: Nicotiana benthamiana
Lineage: Eukaryota; Viridiplantae; Streptophyta; Magnoliopsida; Solanales; Solanaceae
Description: long non-coding RNA (NBEN_LNC018784)
Source: RNAcentral